GGAUGAACGCUGGCGUCGUGCCUAAUACAUGCAAGUCGAGCGAACGGACGAGAAGCUUGCUUCUCUGAUGUUAGCGGCGGACGGGUGAGUAACACGUGGAUAACCUCCCUAUAAGACUGGGAUAACUUCGGGAAACCGUAGCUAAUACCGGAUAAUAUUUUGAACCGCAUGGUUCAAAAGUGAAAGACGGUCUUGCUGUCACUUAUAGAUGGAUCCGCGCUGCAUUAGCUAGUUGGUAAGGUAACGGCUUACUAAGGCAACGAUGCAUAGCCGACCUGAGAGGGUGAUCGGCCACACUGGAACUGAGACACGGUCCAGACCCCUACGGGAGGCAGCAGUAGGGAAUCUUCCGCAAUGGGCGAAAGCCUGACGGAGCAACGCCGCGUGAGUGAUGAAGGUCUUCGGAUCGUAAAACUCUGUUAUUAGGGAAGAACAUAUGUGUAAGUAACUGUGCACAUCUUGACGGUACCCAAUCAGAAAGCCACGGCUAACUACGUG
This 498-nucleotide ribosomal RNA is filed under the name uncultured bacterium. RNAcentral's name for it is "partial 16S ribosomal RNA". It matches the Rfam family "Bacterial small subunit ribosomal RNA", at positions 27 to 507 of the family's 1533-position model. The record is from RNAcentral.